Molecule: long non-coding RNA, 2439 nt
Organism: Harmonia axyridis
Lineage: Eukaryota; Metazoa; Arthropoda; Insecta; Coleoptera; Coccinellidae
Exons: 5
Source: RefSeq, a predicted model, not a curated record
AUUUAUGCCGUUUAGGAAAAUAACGAAGAGGAACUUUUUAACACAGUGCAAAAUUCAUUUGAAAAUCACUCGAAUAUUAAUGUAAAUAAAGAUCUGCUGAAGAAUUAUCAUUAGAUAAGUAAAAAAUAUGGCAGCGCGCAUGUAAACAUAAAGACAUAAAAACUCCACGACCGAUUGUUGUGGAGUAUUCAACUCAGUGAAUGCGUGAUGAUAUCUUCACUAGAAAAUCUGAGAGGGCAGUGAUGUUAUGUUAUUGGAAAUGUUCGUGAAAAGCACUUGAAUUCAGCAAGCGAUAAAUUUGAAAAUAACUAGAAUAAGAAUCUUCAGUUUUUAGAGUUAACAGGCUUAAAUGCAGCGGAGGUCCAGAGAAUUAAUGAUUCUUCAUUCAAUGAAAUCACUGAAUUGCAAUUACCUGGGACGAUUGAAAAAACAAUUUCUGAAACUACAGUUUCUUAGAUUUGAAGGAUUAGAAGCAGCGGAGAUCGAUAGAAUAAAUACAUUAUUAUUCAAUAAUUCAAUUUCUGAAACUGAGUAUUGAUAUCUCGAAAGAUUUACAUGACAUCUUAGCUGUGCCAAAGCAUUGUGCUUAUUGCUCUCGAAAGCACUCGAAGCCUUUUUGUGAUCGUGAGCACUGUGCAUUUUUUGAAAUUAGUGCUUAUAGCAAUUGAAGCACUUCAAUAGAAGGCUGAGCGCCCUCUUGAGAAUCUUCAGUUCCUAGAUCUUUCCGACUUAGAAGUAGCGGAGGUCACAAAAAUCAACGCAUUAUUAUUCGAAACUUCUAAAAUGGAUCCUGGGACAGGUGAAGAAACUAUUUCGUUUUUUGAUUAUACAGGUCUAGAACCAGCUGAAAUCAAAAGAAUAAAUCGAUUUUUAUUCAAUGAUUCAAUUCCUGAAAGUAAGUAUUGAUAUCUCAAAAGAUUCACUUGAGAUCAGAGCUGUGCCAAAGCAUUGUGAUGAUGGCUUUCGAGAGCACUCUAAGCCUUUUUGUGGUCGUGAGCACUGUGUUCUUAAGCAUUUUUUUGAAAUUACUGCUUAUAGUCGAUUUUAUUUCGUUGUUUCAAACUAAUCCUGGCAAUCAUCUCCCAAACUUAUCGUUGAUAAAGGAAAAUAUUCCAUGUUCGUCAUGCCGGAUUAAAAAUUUUAUGUUUCUGUCGAAUUGUAUCUAAACUCUAUUUAACGAUCAUUCAUUUCAAGGAUUUCUUAUGAACAAUUAUUGAAGUGUAAUGUUUAUGAAUUUAAUAAGACAAUUGUUUCAAUAUGGAGAUGAAUAUUUUCUGAGAGUAGAUUUUGGUUAUUUUGAUGAUUUAAUUUAAUUACCUUCAUAAUCGAAUAUUUUCGAAUGUAAGUUAUAAAUGUUGAUGUAGAGAGUUUUAUAGUGUUUUCAGUUUUUCGGAUAUUUUACUUUUGUGUGUUUAUCAAAUAAAAAAUACUACACUUUCAAUAAUGGUAACCACAAUUAUAUUGGGUUUUUCUUUUUUUUUUAGAAUCUUCAGUUCCUAGAUCUAUCAGACUUAGAACCAGCGCAUGUCAAUAAAAUAAAAGCUAUAUUAUUCAAAGAAGAAAUAGAUUGGACAGGUCUUGAACCCUGCGGAGGUGGACAGAAUUACAAGAUUAUUAUCCAAUAAUUCAAUUUCUGAAAAUUUCAGUUACUCACCUCAAUCCACAUAAUAAACAUCAUCACCCCAGGCUCAAGAAGUCCAAAUUUAUCCAGUGUUGCCGACAGGAAUUACGGGCCCGGGGGUUAUGGAAAUGCGGGUCCCCCCAACCUAUUCCGCCAUUUCGAAAUGUCUCCUUUUUUCGCCUUUAAUCAAUAUGGGUUUUCCCAAAAUGUUAUGACGGUGAUAUGAAUAAGUCGAUUGUACAUGCAAGAAUAGUGGGGUCACUUCAGCAAACCCCAUGCCUAAAAUGAAUAUUUCAAGAGUUAUCGAGGAAGAUCUUUAAAUGAGGAAAAACCACAAUUCCUUACUGAGUGGAGUAGUCUGUGACUUCUGGAAAACACAGAAAGAAAUUGAAAUUCGAUGUUUGGAUUACUAAAUUUUACAUUUCAUGAAUUAGGACUAAUUGUUCGUUGUAUUGUGCGUGUAUUAAAAUGGAGGAAUUCUAUUUUGAACAAUUCCUGCUGAAUGGAAAUUAUUUUAUUUAUUUUGUUUUUGAUUCAUUGUUUUCAAAUCCAAAUAUUUUCAAUUUAUUUGCUGCUUUUAUUUAUCCAGUUUGUUGAUUGAAAAUUUUUUUAAAUAAUAUGAGAAAAAUUUAGGGAAGGCAUUCGUAAAGGGUGAAAAAUCUGCAAUUUUCGGAAUAAAUUUAAUUCUUUGUUAGUUAAAUUGACAAUACCAUCAAAAAUACAUAUUGUCUAGCGAUAAUAAACAAAUAAUGACAUUUCACAAAAAAAUAGACGACUAUGUUUUUUUUUUAAUUGAUACGAAAUAAUUUCUUUCAUAU